GGGGUAAUAGUUAAUAAUAACAUUUAAUUUGCACUUAAAAAGUAUUGUCUUAAACAAUUUACCUUA
Molecule: transfer RNA, 66 nt
Filed under: Smaragdina reyi
Lineage: Eukaryota; Metazoa; Arthropoda; Insecta; Coleoptera; Chrysomelidae
Description: tRNA-Ala
Source: RNAcentral